Molecule: ribosomal RNA, 1379 nt
Filed under: Eimeria wyomingensis
Lineage: Eukaryota; Apicomplexa; Conoidasida; Eucoccidiorida; Eimeriidae
Description: SSU rRNA
Rfam family: Eukaryotic small subunit ribosomal RNA
Source: RNAcentral
UCUAUGGCUAAUACAUGCGCAAAUGCCUCCUUCUCUGGAGGGGCUGUGUUUAUUAGAUACAAAACCAACCCACUUUUGUGGAGUCCUGGUGAUUCAUAGUAACCGAACGGAUCGCAUUUGGCUUCGGCCCGCGAUAGAUCUUUCAAGUUUCUGACCUAUCAGCUUUCGACGGUAGGGUAUUGGCCUACCGUGGCAGUGACGGGUAACGGGGAAUUAGGGUUCGAUUCCGGAGAGGGAGCCUGAGAAACGGCUACCACAUCUAGGGAAGGCAGCAGGCGCGCAAAUUACCCAAUGAAAACAGUUUCGAGGUAGUGACGAGAAAUAACAAUACAGGGCAUUUUAUGCUCUGUAAUUGGAAUGAUGGGAAUGUAAAACCCUUCCAGAGUAACAAUUGGAGGGCAAGUCUGGUGCCAGCAGCCGCGGUAAUUCCAGCUCCAAUAGUGUAUAUUAGAGUUGUUGCAGUUAAAAAGCUCGUAGUUGGAUUUCUGCUGUGGUCAUCCGGUACCGCCCGUACGGGUGCGCACCUGGUUUGGCUGCGGCUUUAUUCCUGUAGCCAUCCGCGCUUAAUUGCGUGUGUUGUGUUGCGGAACUUUUACUUUGAGAAAAAUAGAGUGUUUCAAGCAGGCUUGUCGCCCUGAAUACUUCAGCAUGGAAUAAUAGGAUAGGACCUUGGUUCUAUUUUGUUGGUUUCUAGGACCAAGGUAAUGAUUAAUAGGGACAGUUGGGGGCAUUCGUAUUUAACUGUCAGAGGUGAAAUUCUUAGAUUUGUUAAAGACGAACUACUGCGAAAGCAUUUGCCAAGGAUGUUUUCAUCAAUCAAGAACGACAGUAGGGGGUUUGAAGACGAUUAGAUACCGUCGUAAUCUCUACCAUAAACUAUGCCGACUAGAGAUAGGGAAAUGCCUACCUUGGCUUCUCCUGCACCUCAUGAGAAAUCAAAGUCUCUGGGUUCUGGGGGGAGUAUGGUCGCAAGGCUGAAACUUAAAGGAAUUGACGGAAGGGCACCACCAGGCGUGGAGCCUGCGACUUAACUUGACUCAACACGGGGAAACUCACCAGGUCCAGACAUGGGAAGGAUUGACAGAUUGAUAGCUCUUUCUUGAUUCUAUGGGUGGUGGUGCAUGGCCGUUCUUAGUUGGUGGAGUGAUCUGUCUGGUUAAUUUCGAUAACGAACGAGACCUUAGCCUGCUAAAUAGGAUCGGGAACUAUGGUUCUUGUAUCACUUCUUAGAGGGACUUUGCGUGUCUAACGCAAGGAAGUUUGAGGCAAUAACAGGUCUGUGAUGCCCUUAGAUGUUCUGGGCUGCACGCGCGCUACACUGAUGCAUGCAACGAGUUCUUGACCUUGGCCGGAAGGUCUAGGUAAUCUUUUGAGUGUGC